RNAcentral lists this ribosomal RNA (370 nucleotides) under uncultured bacterium. RNAcentral describes it as "partial 16S ribosomal RNA". It matches the Rfam family "Bacterial small subunit ribosomal RNA", at positions 338 to 706 of the family's 1533-position model. The record is from RNAcentral.
CCUACGGUAGGCUGCAGUGAGGAAUAUUGGUCAAUGGGCGCGAGCCUGAACCAGCCAAGUCGCGUGAGGGAAGACGGUCCUAUGGAUUGUAAACCUCUUUUGUCGGGGGGCAAAAGACGCCACGCGUGGCGUUCCGAGAGUACCCGAAGAAAAAGCAUCGGCUAACUCCGUGCCAGCAGCCGCGGUAAUACGGAGGAUGCGAGCGUUAUCCGGAUUUAUUGGGUUUAAAGGGUUCGGAGGCGGAAGAUCAAGUCAGCGGUAAAAUUGAGAGGAGAAACCUCUUCGAGCAGUUGAAACGGGUUUUAUUGAGUGAAUGAGAAGUAUGAGGAAAGCGUGGGGUAGCGGUGAAAUGAAUAGAUAUCACGAAGAA